Molecule: long non-coding RNA, 1714 nt
Filed under: Olea europaea subsp. europaea
Lineage: Eukaryota; Viridiplantae; Streptophyta; Magnoliopsida; Lamiales; Oleaceae
Source: RNAcentral
CUUUUUCAUUUUUGGGUUGUUCACAUGUUUUUUUCACCAUUUGAUCAUGAUAUGUUGAUCCUAGGGCUCUGUUUUCUCCUUAAACAAUGACACACUUUUGAACCUUAAUGACAGAUCCUUGGGCCUGAUAGUGGUUGGCAGCCCAUCCCAUUAACUGAAGUUAUAACUUCUGCAGCUGUAAAAAGAGCAUACAGGAAAGCCACUCUUUGCGUACACCCUGACAAAUUACAGCAGCGUGGUGCAACUAUUCAGCAAAAGUAUAUAUGUGAGAAGGUUUUUGAUCUUCUAAAGGUCUGUCACUUGUUUUCUCUGUAACUGGAAUUAUUCAUUUUGCUUUUCAAUGAACUGAGGCAAUUUUAGGUUGCAUAUAGUACAGGAAUGAGCUUGAUGAUAAUUUACUUUCUAGUAUCAGCAAAUUAAAUGAUUAGAAUAUCAAUGUAAGAUCACUUCCAAAUUGUUAAAGUAGUCAAGCAAUUCUGAUAACUUUUAAUUGCUUUAGAUUGGUUACUUCUGUAGUAUAUUUGACUGUCUGUUUUAUAUAACUUCAAGCAUUCGUCAAUCGUCCACCUUUUCCCUUUUAGUGAAGUGUGACAAGGUACAAUGUGUGAAAAAAAGUGUGAGGAGAAAUAAUUGUAAAAUUGUUUUUAAAAACAGAAUUAGCUCAUUUUGGCAGUAGAGUUGAAAAAAUAGAAUUUAAUUGUGUGUGCAUUUAAUGUAGAUAUUUACUGCAUGUAUAUGUUCUGUUACGGAGAAAUGUUCUACUAAGCAACUGUGACAUUGCACAUAAUAAUUGGUGGAUCAUUUAAUUCCUGUAACCUAUCAUAAACUUAUUUACCAAUUAAUUGACGUGUCAUGUCCCUAAGCAUUAGCAUAAGCUUAAGAAUGGUGCUUAGUGCAUCAUUUCUCUACAGUUACAUUUGUCAAAAGGCACAGGACCUGGUUAGGUCAGUUUUGUAAAGAUCCUACACUUUAGUUUUUAUUUGUAAUUUGUAAUGUGCACAGGUGAAAUGAAUUUUGACAAUCCACAUUCAUGGAUCUUAUGAUGCUUUAUCAUAUUCAAUCUCACGAUUUAGCUGUGGAGAUUGACUUUUCGAUUAAAAUCUGUUAUGUGACGUUCCAUAACUUGUUGAUUUCGAACUGGCAUUUCUUUCCUUGCAUGUUAAAUGACGAUGCCUUGUUAAUGUGUAUGUUAGAGGCCACACUUAACCUACUCUACGUUCCUAUCAAAUGUUAGUAUCUUCAAUUGUUUGGAAAUAAAAAAAACUACUAUUGUUCUACGUAAAAGAUGUGAUAAACUAUCUUUCUAUGCUUAUCAUGCGGCUUGAUACUACGAGCAUUUGUAUAUUAAGUCAUUGGAAUGUUUCUGUGUCUUCAGGAAGCAUGGAACAAGUUCAAUUCAGAAGAGCGGUAGCUUGAGGCUUUUUUCUGCUUGAUGAAGGUUUGCCCUGUAAAUUUUAGUUUCAGCAAGCAAGCAAAUAUUCUUCAUAUAGUUCUGAUUAUUUUUUUAAUGGUUUGCAAGUAAGCUUAAAAGUUGUAGGAACAUAAAAAAAAAUAGAGAUGCUCUAUGAAAUCCAUGUGUGCAGUGCUUUGGAAUCGGGAUUAGACUCAAUUUUAGGCGUUCAUCGGCAAGUGUUAAUCUGAAUUAUUAUUAUUUUCCCUUCUACGAAACAAUUGAAGUUCCGAUAAUAAAAAGUAAGUUUUAUUUAUUUAUUUA